GAAAUUUUAAUUAAAGGAUAAUAUUUAAAUGUCAUUUAAAACUUACUAUAUAAAAUUUUAGUAAUUUUCG
Molecule: transfer RNA, 70 nt
Filed under: Elaphrothrips spiniceps
Lineage: Eukaryota; Metazoa; Arthropoda; Insecta; Thysanoptera; Phlaeothripidae
Description: tRNA-Asp
Source: RNAcentral